GUGAGUGUUCAAGGGCGCAUGGUGGAUGCCUUGGCAUCAAGGGCCGAUGAAGGACGCGGUAAUCUGCGAUAAGCCUCGGGGAGUUGGUAAACGAGCUGUGAUCCGAGGGUGUCCGAAUGGGGAAACCUCGCUGCGUGUUGUGCGUAGUGACCACAGGGUGAAUGUAUAGCCUUGUUGGGGGUGACGUGGGGAAGUGAAACAUCUCAGUACCCAUAGGAAGAGAAAAUAAUAAUGAUUCUGUUAGUAGUGGCGAGCGAACGCGGAAGAGCCUAAACCGUGUGUGUGUCAAGCGUGCUGGUUUUGCAUGCGCGGUGUUGUGGGGCCGAUCGUCCUAGUUCAGCAUGGCUGGGGCAUGGAUGCAGUGUGGUAGGUGAACAGGUUGGGAAGCCUGACCGGAGUGGGUGAGAGUCCCGUAGCUGAAACUGUGCUGGUCUGUGUGUGUUGGUGCCCGAGUAGCACGGUACUCGUGGAAUGUCGUGUGAAUCUGCCAGGACCACCUGGUAAGGCUAAAUACUCUUGGUGACCGAUAGCGGAUAGUACCGUGAGGGAAUGGUGAAAAGUACCCCGGGAGGGGAGUGAAAGAGUACCUGAAACCGUGUGCCUACAAUCCGUCAGAGCCCUGUGGGGUGAUGGCGUGCCUUUUGAAGAAUGAGCCUGCGAGUUAGUGGCAUGUGGCGAGGUUAACCCGUGUGGGGAAGCCGUAGCGAAAGCGAGUCCGAACAGGGCGUGUGAGUCGUGUGUCCUAGACCCGAAGCGGAGUGAUCUAGCCAUGGACAGGGUGAAGCGCCGGUAAGACGGCGUGGAGGCCCGAACCCACCUAGGUUGAAAACUGGGGGGAUGAUCUGUGGUUAGGGGUGAAAGGCCAAUCAAACUCUGUGAUAGCUGGUUCUCCCCGAAAUGCAUUUAGGUGCAGCGUUACGUGGUGCUUUGCGGAGGUAGAGCGACUGGAUGACUGAUGGGCCCGCGAGGGUUACUGACGUCAGCUAAACUCCGAAUGCCGUGAAGUCAGCGUGGCAGUGAGACUGCGGGGGAUAAGCUUCGUAGUCGAGAGGGAAACAGCCCAGACCAUCAACUAAGGUCCCUAAGCGUGUGCUCAGUGGAAAAGGAUGUGGAGUUGCAGUGACAACCAGGAGGUUGGCUUAGAAGCAGCCAUCCUUGAAAGAGUGCGUAAUAGCUCACUGGUCAAGUGAUUCCGCGCCGAUAAUGUAGCGGGGCUUAAGCACACCACCGAAGUUGUGGCAAAAACAUGUUCAACCGAUAACUCGGGUGUUUUUGGGUAGGGGAGCGUCGUGUGGCCGGUGAAGCUGCGAAGUGAUUCAGUGGUGGAGGCUAUACGAGUGAGAAUGCAGGCAUGAGUAGCGAAAGACGGGUGAGAAACCCGUCCGCCGAAUGACCAAGGGUUCCAGGGCUAGGUUAAUCCGCCCUGGGUUAGUCGGGACCUAAGGCGAGGCCGACAGGCGUAGUCGAUGGACAACGGGUUGAUAUUCCCGUACCAGUGAAGAACCGUCCAUACCGAAGAAUCUGAUACUAACCAGUGCCACACCCGCACUGCACUCCCUUUGGGAGUGUGUGUGGUGUGUGGUGGUGGGACCUGAGGGUUUUGUAGGUAAGCGUGUUAACAGGUGUGACGCAGGAAGGUAGCCGGGCCGUGCGAUGGUUGUCGCGGUCUAAGGUUGUAGGCCGUGUGGUUGGCAAAUCCGCCACACAUACAGGCUGAGAGCUGAUGGGCGCCCCACAAUGGUGGGGUGAUCCGGUGAUCCUCUGCUGCCAAGAAAAGCAUCGACGUGAGGUUCAAACUGCCCGUACCCUAAACCGACUCAGGUGGUCAGGUAGAGAAUACCAAGGCGAUCGAGAUAAUCGUGGUUAAGGAACUCGGCAAAAUGCCCCCGUAACUUUGGAAGAAGGGGGACCACCCCGGUGAACAACCCUUGCGGUUGGACGUGCUGGUGGUGGUCGCAGAGGCCAGAGAGAAGCGACUGUUUACUAAAAACACAGGUCCGUGCGAAGACGUAAGUCGAUGUAUACGGACUGACGCCUGCCCGGUGCUGGAAGGUUAAGAGGAUCUGUUAGAACCCUCGGGUUCGAAGCGGAGAAUUUAAGCCCCAGUAAACGGCGGUGGUAACUAUAACCAUCCUAAGGUAGCGAAAUUCCUUGUCGGGUAAGUUCCGACCUGCACGAAUGGCGUAACGACUUCUCUGCUGUCUCAACCGCGAACUCGGCGAAAUUGCAUUACGAGUAAAGAUGCUCGUUACGCGCAGCAGGACGGAAAGACCCCGAGACCUUCACUAUAGUUUGGUAUUGGUGUUCGGUGUGGCUUGUGUAGGAUAGGUGGGAGACUGUGAAGCAUGCACGCCAGUGUGUGUGGAGUCAUUGGUGAAAUACCACUCUGGCCAUAGUGGAUUCCUGAACUUCGGACCCUGAUCGGGUCCAGGGACAGUGCCUGAUGGGUAGUUUAACUGGGGCGGUUGCCUCCCAAAGAGUAACGGAGGCGCCCAAAGGUUCCCUCAGCCUGGUUGGCAAUCAGGUGGUGAGUGUAAGUGCACAAGGGAGCUUGACUGUGAGACGGACGUGUCGAGCAGGAGCGAAAGCUGGGACUAGUGACCCGGCCAUGGCUUGUGGAAGCGUGGUCGCUCAACGGAUAAAAGGUACCUCGGGGAUAACAGGCUGAUCUUGCCCAAGAGUCCAUAUCGACGGCAUGGUUUGGCACCUCGAUGUCGGCUCGUCGCAUCCUGGGGCUGGAGUCGGUCCCAAGGGUUGGGCUGUUCGCCCAUUAAAGCGGUACGCGAGCUGGGUUUAGAACGUCGUGAGACAGUUCGGUCCCUAUCCGCUGCGUGCGUAGGAAAUCUGAGAAGGGCUGUCCUUAGUACGAGAGGACCGGGACGGACGAACCUCUGGUGUGCCAGUUGUACCGCCAGGUGCAUGGCUGGUUGGCUACGUUCGGGAAGGAUAACCGCUGAAAGCAUCUAAGCGGGAAGCCUGCUUCAAGAUGAGAUUUCCCCUGAGGUGUCCAGUAGACGACUGGGUUGAUAGGCCAGAUGUGGAAGCACAGCAAUGUGCGCAGCUGACUGGUACUAAUACACCAAUCACUCACCCA
RNAcentral lists this ribosomal RNA (3094 nucleotides) under Brevibacterium sp. HMSC24B04. RNAcentral's name for it is "bacterial LSU rRNA". It matches the Rfam family "Bacterial large subunit ribosomal RNA". The record is from RNAcentral. Lineage: Bacteria; Bacillati; Actinomycetota; Actinomycetes; Micrococcales; Brevibacteriaceae.